ACGUCAUCCCCACCUUCCUCCGAGUUAUCCCCGGCAGUCUCCUAUGAGUCCCCGGCCGAACCGCUGGCAACAUAGGACAAGGGUUGCGCUCGUUGCGGGACUUAACCCAACAUCUCACGACACGAGCUGACGACAGCCAUGCACCACCUGUCACGGGCCCUUACGGACACUGUAUUUCUACAGCUUUUCCCGUGAUGUCAAACCCAGGUAAGGUUCUUCGGGUUGCAUCGAAUUAAGCCGCAUGCUCCGCCGCUUGUGCGGGGACCCGUCAAUUCCUUUGAGUUUUAGCCUUGCGGCCGUACUCCCCAGGCGGGAUACUUAAUGCGUUAGCUUCGGCACGGCAGUCGUUGGUAAGACCGCCACACCUAGUAUCCAACGUUUACGGCGUGGACUACCAGGG
This 400-nucleotide unclassified non-coding RNA is filed under the name uncultured fungus. Its description in RNAcentral is "sequence contains ITS1". Lineage: Eukaryota; Fungi. The record is from RNAcentral.